UGCACAUACAUGCACAUAGACAUGCACAUACAUGCACAUAGACGCACAUACAUGCACAUAGACACACAUACAUGCACAUAGACGCACAUACAUGCACAUAGACACACAUACAUGCACAUAUACAUGCACAUAGACACACAUACAUGCACAUAGACACACAUGCUUUAACUGACGACACUCAACUGAGGAUGUCAACGAAAAGUUUUGUAUUUGACAUUUUGUAUUUUGACUCAAACACCAAACCCUAUCAGAUAUUUUAGAUUCUAUAUUUUGUACAUUAAUAUAUUAGAGAGAAGUAUCUAUAAAUAAACAUGUAUUCGGAUGUACAUAGCUGACCGAGACCCAUUACAAUCAUGCAAGGUGUGGACGAUUCCUUUUCUGUCCCAUCACUGUAUUCUUCAUUCUUUCUAGUUCACCUGCUUUUUCCACACAUUUGGUUUGAAUAUCAAGCAGUUGCCUGCACUUGUGGCAAGGCAUCCCCUGACAUUGUCUUUUAGAUGAAUAACCCCCUGCAGUCAGUCCAUGUCAUCGAUAGAGACUCUCUAUGAAGCCAUCCCACCAACCCUGGCUCAAUCAAAUGUUAUGACCCAAUGAAUGUCCAGUUUUCUCCAAUGAGGCCUUUAUACUUGUCUAUACUGAUGAUGACAUCAUCCUUAUGUUAAACAAUAUGAGGAAUAGCUUGUGGGAGUCCAUGUGGAGAUGCUUCCUUUUUACCUUGGACCUGCUGUAUAUUGUUAUCCCCAUUGGGGUUGCACAAUUCCAGUAACUCUGCAAAAAUUCCCAGGUUUUUCUAAAAUACUGGUUGGAAGAUUCCUGGAAUCAGGAGGGAAUAAGCAGGAAAUCCAGUAAACUUCCAACAGAGAUUUCUAGAAAACCUGGGAAUUUGGGGAGUGACUGGAAUUUUGCAAACCCUAUCCCCCUUCUUCUGUUUCUGGUAGAGCAGCCCCAUCAGUGUAACAGCAUACUGUGGUAUCUUCAUAUGUUUCAGGUAGAGCAGCCCCAUCAGUGUAACAGCAUACUGUGGUAUCUUCAUCUGUUUCUGGUAGAGCAGCCCCAUCAGUGUAACAGCAUACUGUAGUAUCUUCAUCCGUUUCUGGUAGAGCAGCCCCAUCAGUGUUACAGCAUACUGUGGCAUCUUCAUCCGUUUCUGGUAGAGCAGCCCCAUCAGUGUAACAGCAUACUGUGGUAUCUUCAUCUGUUUCUGGUAGAGCAGCCCCAUCAGUGUAACAGCAUACUGUAGUAUCUUCAUCUGUUUCUGGUAGAGCAGCCCCAUCAGUGUUACAGCAUACUGUGGUAUCUUCAUCAGUUUCUG
Molecule: long non-coding RNA, 1312 nt
Organism: Oncorhynchus tshawytscha (Chinook salmon)
Lineage: Eukaryota; Metazoa; Chordata; Actinopteri; Salmoniformes; Salmonidae
Source: Ensembl